AUUGAACGCUGGCGGCAGGCCUAGCACAUGCAAGUCGAGCGGCAGCGACUUAACUGAACCUUCGGGGGACGUUAAGGGUGGCGAGCGGCGGACGGGUGAGUAAUGCCUGGGAAUAUGCCCUGAUGUGGGGGAUAACUAUUGGAAACGAUAGCUAAUACCGCAUAAUCUCUUCGGAGCAAAGAGGGGGACCUUCGGGCCUCUCGCGUCAGGAUUAGCCCAGGUGGGAUUAGCUUGUUGGUGAGGUAAUGGCUCACCAAGGCUACGAUCCCUAGCUGGUCUGAGAGGAUGAUCAGCCACACUGGAACUGAGACACGGUCCAGACUCCUACGGGAGGCAGCAGUGGGGAAUAUUGCACAAUGGGGGGAACCCUGAUGCAGCCAUGCCGCGUGUGUGAAGAAGGCCUUCGGGUUGUAAAGCACUUUCAGUAGGGAGGAAGGUAGUGUAGUUAACACCUGCAUUAUUUGACGUUACCUACAGAAGAAGCACCGGCUAACUCCGUGCCAGCAGCCGCGGUAAUACGGAGGGUGCGAGCGUUAAUCGGAAUUACUGGGCGUAAAGCGCAUGCAGGCGGCCUGUUAAGUCAGAUGUGAAAGCCCGGGGCUUAACCUCGGAAUUGCAUUUGAAACUGGCAGGCUAGAGUCUUGUAGAGGGGGGUAGAAUUUCAGGUGUAGCGGUGAAAUGCGUAGAGAUCUGAAGGAAUACCAGUGGCGAAGGCGGCCCCCUGGACAAAGACUGACGCUCAGAUGCGAAAGCGUGGGGAGCAAACAGG
RNAcentral lists this ribosomal RNA (769 nucleotides) under uncultured bacterium. Its description in RNAcentral is "bacterial SSU rRNA". It matches the Rfam family "Bacterial small subunit ribosomal RNA", at positions 28 to 776 of the family's 1533-position model. The record is from RNAcentral.